This 496-nucleotide ribosomal RNA is filed under the name uncultured bacterium. Its description in RNAcentral is "partial 16S ribosomal RNA". It matches the Rfam family "Bacterial small subunit ribosomal RNA", at positions 30 to 523 of the family's 1533-position model. The record is from RNAcentral.
AUUGAACGCUGGCGGAAUGCUUUACACAUGCAAGUCGAACGGUAGAGGGGGCAACCCCUCGAGAGUGGCGAACGGGUGAGUAAUAUAUCGGAACGUGCCCAGUCGUGGGGGAUAACGUAGCGAAAGUUACGCUAAUACCGCAUACGAUCUAAGGAUGAAAGCGGGGGAUCGCAAGACCUCGCGCGGUUGGAGCGGCCCAGAUCAGAUUAGGUAGUGGGUGGGGUAAAGGCUCACCAAGCCAACGAUCUGUAGCUGGUCUGAGAGGGCGACCAGCCACACUGGAACUGAGACACGGUCCAGACUCCUACGGGAGGCAGCAGUGGGGAAUUUUGGACAAUGGACGCAAGUCUGAUCCAGCCAUUCCGCGUGCAGGAUGAAGGCCCUCGGGUUGUAAACUGCUUUUGUACGGAACGAAAAGGUCUCUCUUAAUACGGGGGGCUCAUGACGGUACCGUAAGAAUAAGCACCGGCUAACUACGUGCCAGCAGCCGCCGUAA